AGACUUAACGCGAAAUGGAAAACUCACGAAAUAAUCGGACGACCCGACAUUACGUACAACGUUAAUGUACACUGUAGAAAUUCAAUCGAGAACUAUUUAAUUUGGCGACGGACACAGACGGAAACGAUUCGAUUUAAAGGCGGCCGAAAAGGUCCGAAAAUUCCGGUUAUAUUUCUCGGUAAACACGAGCGCAAUUCGGUGCGCCGUUGUCCGAAGUGAGCGCUUUGAGAACCGUGUAUCGCGUUUUAUUCUGAACUAUUAAGUGUUCCGGGAGUGUAUAGUUUUAAUAAUAAUACCGCAAUCCCGACACCGCUUUUUAUCUGCAUGUGUGCAUGAAUGACACAACCGUUUAGGGAUUUCGGCGAGUGUCCGGACGGCCUCGGAGAUUCCGUUCGAGUACACAGUUUUCGCGUUCGGUUUUCGUUCGCUUGGUGAUCGACUGGAAUCUAUCGACAGCAACAACUCGCGUUAUAUUAUCGCGCUGUAAAGUAAUUUUCUCCGUAACAAUAGUUUAUUUAUAUUAUUCGAUUGUUCGAAAAGACUUUUGGAAUUCAUUUAAUGCGAUGCGGCGGCGACGGCCAAUGCUGUUAUCAGUCGUCAUCGGUAUCACAAAACGGUUUG
Molecule: non-coding RNA, 621 nt
Organism: Cinara cedri
Lineage: Eukaryota; Metazoa; Arthropoda; Insecta; Hemiptera; Aphididae
Source: the annotation of a GenBank genome assembly